GCCUGGGUGGCUCAGUCAGUUGAGUGUCUGACUUCAACUGGGUCAUGAUCUCACAAUUUGUGGGUUCGAGCCCCGCAUCGGGCU
Felis catus (domestic cat) is the source of this 84-nucleotide non-coding RNA. Lineage: Eukaryota; Metazoa; Chordata; Mammalia; Carnivora; Felidae. The record is from Rfam.